RNAcentral lists this long non-coding RNA (779 nucleotides) under Daphnia magna. RNAcentral's name for it is "uncharacterized LOC123468775". The record is from RNAcentral. Lineage: Eukaryota; Metazoa; Arthropoda; Branchiopoda; Diplostraca; Daphniidae.
GAAGGGAAGUGAUAUACAGUGGGACUUAGAAAAAUUUUAGCUGUUUCGUUCGUGUACGGAUCUCUAAGAGACGUGGGAGUUGUUGAAUUCAAAUGGAAUACAUUACUAUCAAGGGUACAACAAAAAAAAAAGAAAAUCACGACGGCGACGUCAUUGUGGAGACCGACGGGUGGUGGCUCGCGGCGACCCGUCUUCUUGUAGUGCUGCUCGGCGCCAUCGUCGGAUCAGCAGGUCGAUCCUUCUGUGCCGCCAAUGCAGGAACUCCCGAGAAUCGGUGCUGGGAGCCGGUGAGUCGCGGUCGAUGUCUGGAUGAUGUUGAGGUUCGCUCGUUGGUGUGGCAGGAGUUUGUGCUGGCAUCCCAGCUCUUGCCCCGGGGACGGUAAUUAGCAAGAUGUCUCGUCCGCUUCCGUCUGGAACAAGGACGAGCGUGUGGUCUGUCUGAACGCUGGUUGUCAAGUUGCCGAGCAACGUGUUGUGUUUUCAAUAGCAGCUUCGGGUUGGAGGAAGUCGGUGAGGGUGUUAAAGAGCGUCGUGUUUCGUCGGCGAAAACUUUGCCUUCCCGCCAAGUGUCGUAUUCUUUCGACGCAUCGGAUAGAGAAAGAAGAUGGAAGGAAGAUAUGUGAAAGAAGAAUAUAGAAGAAAUGGGGCGUAUGGGAGCUACCACGGAGAAGAAUAAGACCAAUUUGUAAACCUAAACUGUAUAUAGUUAUGCUUGAAAAUCGAACAAAUUCUACAUGUACCGAAAAGGAAUUGUAUGCUUUAUUACAGAUUGUUUUUUU